ACAAUGGAGAGUUUGAUCCUGGCUCAGGAUGAACGCUAGCUACAGGCUUAACACAUGCAAGUCGAGGGGAAACGACAUCGAAAGCUUGCUUUUGAUGGGCGUCGACCGGCGCA
This 113-nucleotide ribosomal RNA is filed under the name Segatella copri. RNAcentral describes it as "partial 16S ribosomal RNA". It matches the Rfam family "Bacterial small subunit ribosomal RNA", at positions 1 to 102 of the family's 1533-position model. Lineage: Bacteria; Pseudomonadati; Bacteroidota; Bacteroidia; Bacteroidales; Prevotellaceae. The record is from RNAcentral.